Molecule: ribosomal RNA, 274 nt
Filed under: uncultured bacterium
Lineage: Bacteria
Description: partial 16S ribosomal RNA
Rfam family: Bacterial small subunit ribosomal RNA
Source: RNAcentral
UACGGGGGGAGCAAGCGUUGUUCGGAUUUACUGGGCGUAAAGGGCGCGUAGGCGGCCACCGCAAGUCGACUGUGAAAUCUCCGGGCUUAACCCGGAAAGGUCAGCCGAUACUGCGGGGCUAGAGUGCAGAAGGGGCAACUGGAAUUCUCGGUGUAGCGGUGAAAUGCGUAGAUAUCGAGAGGAACACCUGCGGCGAAGGCGGGUUGCUGGGCUGACACUGACGCUGAGGCGAGAAAGCUAGGGGAGCGAACGGGAUUAGAUACCCCAGUAGUCC